AGCAGUCGCCGCGGGAAUACGGAGGGUGCAAGCGUUAAUCGGAAUUACUGGGCGUAAAGCGCACGCAGGCGGUCUGACAAGUCAGAUGUGAAAUCCCCGGGCUUAACCUGGGAACUGCAUUUGAAACUGUCAGGCUGGAGUCUUGUAGAGGGGGGUAGAAUUCCAGGUGUAGCGGUGAAAUGCGUAGAGAUCUGGAGGAAUACCGGUGGCGAAGGCGGCCCCCUGGACAAAGACUGACGCUCAGGUGCGAAAGCGUGGGGAGCAAACAGGAUUAGAUACCCCAGUAGUCCCUGUCUCUUAUAC
This 303-nucleotide ribosomal RNA is filed under the name uncultured bacterium. RNAcentral's name for it is "partial 16S ribosomal RNA". It matches the Rfam family "Bacterial small subunit ribosomal RNA", at positions 507 to 807 of the family's 1533-position model. The record is from RNAcentral.